AUACGGAGGGUGCAAGCGUUAAUCGGAAUUACUGGGCGUAAAGCGCGCGUAGGCGGUCAGGUCAGUCGGAUGUGAAAGCCCCGGGCUCAACCUGGGAACUGCAUUCGAUACUGCCUGACUAGAGUAUGGUAGAGGGAAGUGGAAUUUCCGGUGUAGCGGUGAAAUGCGUAGAUAUCGGAAGGAACACCAGUGGCGAAGGCGGCUUCCUGGACCAAUACUGACGCUGAGGUGCGAAAGCGUGGGGAGCAAACAGGAUUAGAAACCCUAGUAGUCC
Molecule: ribosomal RNA, 274 nt
Filed under: uncultured bacterium
Lineage: Bacteria
Description: partial 16S ribosomal RNA
Rfam family: Bacterial small subunit ribosomal RNA
Source: RNAcentral